AACGGAUUAACACGACUGUAAGCGGACAUUUCUCGGGUUCUCUCUCUAGCCAAUUAGUACCACUCCAUCCACUUUUCCCCUUCUUUCUCCCUCCGGUGGAUCUCCAGCCACCCAGGCCCGGGCCAUGGGCGGAGACGGCGACUUCAACGCCGCAGGCGGCGGAAGUGGGGUUGCGGGUCGGAGGCGUGGGCGGCAAGUGCGAGGCAGCCGCGGCCGGGAGACGCAGGGCGGCGCCCCGGCCCGAAGGCCGCGGCAGGAGUUCGUCGCCGAGGGCCCGAGGCGGCAAGUGCGAGGCAGCCGCGGGCGGGAGACGCAGAGCGCCGGCCCGUCCCGGAGAGGUCGCGGCAGGAGUUCGUCGCCGAGGGCCCGAGGCGGAGCGCACGGGGUCGGCAGGCGCAGCGCCGGCGAGUUGCUGGAGUACGGGAGGGAGGCACCGUAUGGAUUGUGCAGCGGCGAGGAGGCGCCGGCUGCUUCCGCUUCCGCGCCACGAAGGCGACGAUGCGCGAGUCCCGGCCUCGUCCAGAUCAUCCAUCGCCAAUUCGCCAGGUAGUAGAUCACCAUUGAGAGGUGCUGCUUCUAAGGUGUAAAAUCCAUCCAGAUAGUGGCCGCAGCGUUGCCGCUGGACGGUGCACACUGGAGCUGGAGUAUGCAGCCACGACAGAGCUGCUCCGACAUCACUGUAGGUUGAUGUUCUCUAUCACUCCUGAACACCUUGAACUGUCCUCUAAUUGAUCUAGAGAUUUCUGGGACCUAAAAUGCUCUUGUGUGCUGAGACAAAAUCCCCAAAUUGAUCCUCUAAUUCAAAGGACAGUGAUUUCUGGGACCUAAAAUGCUCUUGUGUGCUGAGAAAAAUCCCGAACUCUCGCCUUUAAACCCAGCAUUUAUAUUAGGCCUAAAUCCAUAAUUUAUACUGAUGUUUAAAUCAAAUUCCCACCUCAAUGGUUUCUGCUAUAAAACUGAGGUGAUGGUGCUGUUAUGUCCUAAGUAUUUUGUGCCUUAAACCAUUUCACUAUUUUCUUCAUGUCGCCAGCUUUCCGUUAAUGAAACCAUUGUGGUGACAUGGGAUUUGUGCUUGUAUGUGAGAAAAAAAAUAUGAUGGCAUGAAGAAAAACACCUUUGUUUGAUGCAAUUGCUCUUUUUUGUUCUUGCUUGCUGGCUUUGUCUCUACUCUGGAUGCAACUGCUUUCUCUUUAGGAAUGCUUCUCAGCUCCUCCCCCUCCACGACAGCCAGCAUUGGUGGUCUCUCAGUUUUUUUAUGGGGAAAGAGAAGUGGAGACAGUGGGAAGGGGGGAACUACUGCCAGGUGAAUAACUUGGAACCCCAUUGUCACUGUUAUAUCUUCUUCUAUUCUUAUCUUUCCUCCUCAAGCAAGUAUACCCAUUUUUUUUCUCCCGAAAAGAGGGUAAAAUCCCCCAUCAUCCAUUGAAGCAAGUGAACCCAUACCUUGGUCUAGAUGAUCCUUUUGAUUCAUUGGUUAAGCUACCAUGCUUACACUAUUUGAGCCCCCUUGUAUGUUUACAAAAACGAUUCGUUCCGUUGCUUUCUUUCAGAUAUCUACUGUAUUCAGUAAGAUGAUUUGACCUUACCUGAAAACUGGAUUCAUGAAGAAGCCCAAAAAGUGCCGGGCUUAGUGCAACCCAGUUCCUAGCCAGUGUGGGGUUGUGCCAUGGAUAUUUGGAGUUGGAUGGGAGUGGUAACCCAUGAUGCAUUUCAGAUUUCACUAUUGUGGUAACUAUUUGGGGAAGAUUUAAAAUGGCUCCCUUCUUUGUGGGCCAAUGUGUGGUUACCACACGACUAACUAUGAUUAGGCAGUCUUUUCUCUUCCCUUCCCGCAAAAAAAAGUCUAUCUUCACAAUCUGGACAUGUUGGAGACCAUUAUUUCUCCUCUGCCAUAGUUUGCUGCUGCCAUGUUAACUGAGAGUUGGUAGCCAAUAUCAAGUGAUUUGGAAAUUUUGUUGGUCUGAACCAUAAAUGUGAUGAUUUAUCACAAUUGUCAUGUGAUCACGAUUUUGUUGAUCACAUUACAUCUAUGCUCUGUUUGUUUGUUUGUUUGUUUGUUUGUUUGUUUGUUUCAUCACAAUUGUCAUGUGAUGAUUCCUGCCCUUUUGUGUGGUCUCUCUCUCUCUCUCUCUCUGUGUCGCAUGUUAAAUCCCCCAAAUUCGAUGGAUGCCUGCUCUUCCUGCCACACUGACAUCAAUUUUUAAAAUUUAUUUGACAAUUCUGCACCAAAUUCCUCUCCUAUCUCGCAUCGGAUUUCAGUGGAACGGGCGAAGAAAAUCGACCGCGCGACACGGCCACCCGAUGUUGGUGAACGGCGAAUGACCUUGCUGUCAAGAUGGCAUUGGAUGUGCAUGAAUUGGGCAUCUGGUUCAGCUAUGUUAGGUUGAUACCUUCUGUGCAGAAGGGAUGGCACUGUUAAUUUUCUCCCUUUGGUUAUUCUGUUGUCCUACAAGGCUAGCUUGAUGUACAUGGCUGGAUAUGCAAUUGGCCUGGGAUGCAAGGUUUUUAUGCUCGUAGGCUCACAUGAUGUACUGAUGGUAACAUUGUAUAUUUUAGGUAUAAGGAGGGUUUCUUGGCUGCAUUGCCUCCUCCUCGCCACCAGCCAGUUAUUUGCUGCAUUUUCAUGUCAAAUUUAAGCAAUUGAUAGUUCAUACAUAUUGUUUUGAUUAUCACGCUGGAUACAAUUGAGUUUAAUUUCUCACAAAUGAUACGAGUUUCUGUUGGUGGUGGCUCGAGCGAUGCAGGACAUCGGUGAGUACAGCGGCGUCUACAGCUGGUGGGAGCGGCGGUCAAGAUCAUGGGCAUGGCUUGGGGAGUGGUGCUUGUGUCGACCAGUGAGGGGCGCAUCUGCUACCAACAUGCCAAGGAUCAGUAGGCGUGACUGAUGAUGCAGAGCCAUUCCUGGGGUCUCGACGAUUUGGGAGUUUGAGGUUAUCAUUGAUUAGGUACCCUGGAGAGCUGCAAGCUGCUUGUCUUGUUUCGAAUCAUGUUCCUGCUGUUUUAUCUUUAUCCCCGCUGAGAGUGCAUUAUGUGGGUAGUGUAAUCAUCAUGCUCUCUGAGGACAUGUAUAGAGUUGCAACUCUAUUUCUUGAAAAUUAACCUUGUAAAUUCCUGUUUCCUUAGAACUGUUCCUGUAAAUUGACCCUGUAAAUUCCUAUUUUCUUAGAACUGGUCCUGUAGAGUCGCAUCUUUGUUCUCUUGAAAAUUGACCAUGUAAAUUCCUAUUUUCCUAGAACUGAUCCUGUAAAUUCUUCCCUGUAUUUUAAUGAAGUUUGGUGUCGGGGCUUUGAUAUAAC
RNAcentral lists this ribosomal RNA (3296 nucleotides) under Triticum aestivum (bread wheat). Its description in RNAcentral is "partial small subunit ribosomal RNA". Lineage: Eukaryota; Viridiplantae; Streptophyta; Magnoliopsida; Poales; Poaceae. The record is from RNAcentral.